RNAcentral lists this small RNA (94 nucleotides) under Manihot esculenta (cassava). RNAcentral's name for it is "precursor microRNA miR399a". Lineage: Eukaryota; Viridiplantae; Streptophyta; Magnoliopsida; Malpighiales; Euphorbiaceae. The record is from RNAcentral.
UCGCAGGGCACCUCUCGCUUGGCAGGUACUUAAUGGGAUACCAAUAUUUGAUCUCAUCUCAAUCGUGACUUGCCAAAGGAGAGUUGCCCUGUGA